CCUACGGGGUGCAGCAGUAGGGAAUCUUCGGCUAUGGACGAAAGUCUGACCGAGCAACGCCGCGUGAGUGAAGAAGGUUUUCGGAUCGUAAAACUCUGUUGGUAGAGAAAAACGUUGGUGGGAGUGGAAAGCUCAUCAAGUGACGGUAACUACCCAGAAAGGGACGGCUAACUACGUGUCAGCAGCCGCGGUAAUACGUAGGUCCCGAGCGUUGUCCGGAUUUAUUGGGCGUAAAGCGAGCGCAGGCGGUUUAUUAAGUCUGGUGUAAAAGGCAGUGGCUCAACCAUUGUAUGCAUUGGAAACUGGUAGACUUGAGUGCAGGAGAGGAGAGUGGAAUUCCAUGUGUAGCGGUGAAAUGCGUAGAUAUAUGGAGGAACACCGGUGGCGAAAGCGGCUCUCUGGCCUGUAACUGACACCGAGGCUCGAAAGCGUGGGGAGCAAACAGGAUUAGAUACCCUUGUAGUC
Molecule: ribosomal RNA, 465 nt
Filed under: uncultured bacterium
Lineage: Bacteria
Description: bacterial SSU rRNA
Rfam family: Bacterial small subunit ribosomal RNA
Source: RNAcentral